UACGUAGGGUGCGAGCGUUAAUCGGAAUUACUGGGCGUAAAGCGUGCGCAGGCGGUUUUUUAAGACAGGCGUGAAAUCCCCGGGCUUAACCUGGGAACGGCGCUUGUGACUGGAAGGCUAGAGUACGGCAGAGGGGGGUGGAAUUCCACGUGUAGCAGUGAAAUGCGUAGAGAUGUGGAGGAACACCGAUGGCGAAGGCAGCCCCCUGGGCUAACACUGACGCUCAUGCACGAAAGCGUGGGGAACAAACAGG
This 253-nucleotide ribosomal RNA is filed under the name uncultured bacterium. RNAcentral's name for it is "partial 16S ribosomal RNA". It matches the Rfam family "Bacterial small subunit ribosomal RNA", at positions 524 to 776 of the family's 1533-position model. The record is from RNAcentral.